Molecule: transfer RNA, 73 nt
Filed under: Paramuricea clavata
Lineage: Eukaryota; Metazoa; Cnidaria; Anthozoa; Malacalcyonacea; Plexauridae
Rfam family: tRNA
About the family: Transfer RNA (tRNA) molecules are approximately 80 nucleotides in length. Their secondary structure includes four short double-helical elements and three loops (D, anti-codon, and T loops).
Source: Rfam by way of RNAcentral
GACCAUGUAGCUCAGUUGGCAGAGCAUUGGACUAGUAUCCCAAAGCUUGUGGGUUCGAUUCCCACCAUGGCCA